RNAcentral lists this ribosomal RNA (362 nucleotides) under Acholeplasma sp. RNAcentral describes it as "bacterial SSU rRNA". It matches the Rfam family "Bacterial small subunit ribosomal RNA", at positions 1 to 332 of the family's 1533-position model. The record is from RNAcentral. Lineage: Bacteria; Bacillati; Mycoplasmatota; Mollicutes; Acholeplasmatales; Acholeplasmataceae.
UUAACUAGAGGGUUUGAUCCUGGCUCAGGACGAACGCUGGCGGCGUGCCUAACACAUGCAAGUCGAGCGGUCUUAUAGCGAGAAGUGACUUGUCACUUCAUGCUACAAGAUAGCGGCGGACGGGUGAGUAACACGUGGGUAACCUGCCUUAUACAAAGGGAUAACACCGGGAAACCGGUGCUAAUACCGUAUAACAUAUAUCUUGGGCAUCUGAGAUAUAUCAAAGGCAUAUCGUAAAGGUAAGCCGGUAUAAGAUGGGCCCGCGUCCGAUUAGCUAGUUGGUGGGGUAAAAGCUUACCAAGGCAACGAUCGGUAGCCGGACUGAGAGGUUGACCGGCCACAUUGGGACUGAGACACGGCCC